ACGGGAGGCAGCAGUGGGGAAUAUUGGACAAUGGGGGAAACCCUGAUCCAGCGACGCCGCGUGAGUGAAGAAGUAUUUCGGUAUGUAAAGCUCUAUCAGCAGGGAAGAUAAUGACGGUACCUGACUAAGAAGCCCCGGCUAACUACGUGCCAGCAGCCGCGGUAAUACGUAGGGGGCAAGCGUUAUCCGGAUUUACUGGGUGUAAAGGGAGCGUAGGUGGCCAUGCAAGUCAGAUGUGAAAACCCGGGGCUCAACCCCGUGACUGCAUUUGAAACUGCGUGGCUGGAGUACAGGAGAGGUAAGCGGAAUUCCUAGUGGAGCGGUGAAAUGCGUAGAUAUUAGGAGGAACACCAGUGGCGAAAGCGGCUUACUGGACUGAAACUGACACUGAGGCUCGAAAGCGUGGGGAGCAAACAGGAUUAGAUACCCUGGUA
Molecule: ribosomal RNA, 434 nt
Filed under: uncultured Lachnospiraceae bacterium
Lineage: Bacteria; Bacillati; Bacillota; Clostridia; Lachnospirales; Lachnospiraceae
Description: bacterial SSU rRNA
Rfam family: Bacterial small subunit ribosomal RNA
Source: RNAcentral